Long non-coding RNA from Cygnus olor (mute swan), 2989 nucleotides. RefSeq lists it as uncharacterized. The transcript has 5 exons. NCBI's taxonomy places the organism in Eukaryota, Metazoa, Chordata, Aves, Anseriformes, Anatidae. The record is from RefSeq and is a predicted model, not a curated record.
CACCUAAUUCAAGUGGCAACAGUUGUAUCUGUACCAGCCAGAAGACUUUGUCUCAUUUAUGUUCGGCUUCACUUGUGGUUGUUAGCAAAUAGCCUUUGGAGUUUAAUUACAUGAUCAAGAUUGCUGAGGAGCAUGGAAGACAAAAGAAUGAAUAGGUGGGUUGGCUGCACAGCAGUCAUCAACAUAAAACCCUUCAGUGCUGGAACUGCGCUUGAGUGUGAGUUGGCCAACUACAUCUCUGCAUAUAGAUCUGUGCCUGUUUUUGCCUGUCUUCAUUUGCAACAGAACACACAAUGCUCUUUACAUGAGUGGCACCUAUGGAGGAGCAGAUAUUUGGAGUUACAACAGAACAAUGCAUCUAUGGCAACUGUAAUCACCAUUUGUGAUGUAGAAAUCUCUUUGCCUAAGUAAGCAGUGAAAAGGAAUGCCUAGGAAAUGUGCAGAAUUCCCAUUGCUAAAACUCUUAAGAUCAGUUCAAACAAACUUCUGUGAGGAAUGUCAAAGUGAGUGAGGUACACCUGAAAGUCAACAGUUUGCUUCUGUAAGUUGAAAAUUGAGGCUGGUUCACUUCCUAAAUCCAUUGUCCUUGAGAAAAAAUGUGGGAAAUCCUACCCUGCUCAAGACUGAUUUGGAAAGAAGGUUUUGUUAAGAUUUCUUGAGAUCUAGUUGAUCUCCUUCCUGGUUUGCAGUGUGUAAGUUAAGGAAUCCACGUAUCUCUGUUGGAGGAUCAAGAAAUCUUGUCUAAAGGAAAGAGCUCUUCACCUGAUACAAUCAUUGGUCCUCUGACACCAGCUAAAAGCAGCAUGCAUGUGUUCAUCUGGGUCUUGUGCACACAAUGCAGAUCUCUCUGACUCUCUAUUAACUUUGAAUGUAUUACUUAUACCAUUCAGUAGAUGAUGAGCUGAAAAAAAAUGCUUGGCUUUUUUCAUCUUGUACAAAAUUUGUUUAACCAUAGGGGCAAUCUUUUUUCCUAGGUUUCAGAUCUCACAGUGAAUACACUAAAUACACACUUGGUCACACAAAUUUUCACAUAGCUGACAAACUACUGAAAGCUAUAUUAUGCAGCAGAAAUGCUACCAUGUCAUUAAGUUGAUACUAUGAACUGGGUAGAAAGGUUAUAACACUUCCAAGAUGUUUGUAGCGUCUCUCCUAAUUCUUCAGUUUUCAUCAUCUGGCCCUCAAUAUAAGCAUUGCAAUACUCUGAUUUUCUUGUGUUUUUCUUCAUCAAGAUGCUUGCAACAGUUGAUUUAAUAGUAGAACAAAUGCAGUAUGUUUGCAGAAACAUACUGACCAUGAGAAGUGUCACAUCUAGAACUUUUUUAGUACAGAAUCCCUUCUUAAUUUUAGGCUAGGUAGUUUUGACUGUGAAUCUCGUUUUUCAUCCUGCCCUAGUAGACAGUGUUCAUUGCAUGUAGCCAAGUAGACUGUUCUGUGAUUCCAGAUGGAGAUGCAGAGCUGGACUCUGUCCUGUUUCUUGGUUCUGUUUGACAGAGUUGUUGUUGAGAAAUUAGUUCUAAUAUUUUUUUUAUUAUAUAGAGAUAAGAAUUUUAAUUCAUUAUAUUUCAUAGCCUAACAAAAUGUGAGUGGGGCAGCUAUAAGUAUAUUAACAUCCAGUAAUUCACUCUUACAAAUACAAUCUGUUGCAUUAUGCCAUAUAGCAAAGACAGUUUCUCAUCAGCUGUUGCACGGUUGUUUUGGUACCUGUUAAAAUGUGAGCCUCUACUAUACCUGAAUUGGUCAAAACAGGACUUGUGUGCAGCGCUUGGACCAAUGGAAGACCCAAAGCAGAUGUUACAGACCUUCAAACCUGUUUUUAUCUGAACACUGUUUCCUGUCUCUAGUUCUCAUUUUCAUAUUUGGCAGAAGGCACUACGACCUUUACUCCUAUUCUUUAAAGGGAUAACUUUUAUAGCAGCAGGGGUGAUCUGGCCUCAGAUGUUUAAACUUCUGAAUUCCUCUUGCACCAUAUGUGCCUAUAAUGGUGCAUGUUGACUUAGUGCUGAGAGUUGUAAUCCCACUCUCCCCACCUUCCCAUCCCAUAAGAGCUCAGAGAACACUUGCACUACUUAAUUAAAUACUUUAUUACAUGUAGCUGGCUGUAACCAGGGUUGUUAGAGAUCUACACCCUCCCCCUGCCCACCCUGAUUUUAUUACUAGCAAAUGUUCAGAAGAUUCUACUGCAAAUGUCUAGAAUAAUUAGUGCUUAAACUUUAAGCAUUCUGGAUUAAAGAUGUGUACUUCACACCAAUGUCUUUUCAAUCAGGCAUAGUUAACCCUUUGGAUAUGUGGACUUUUUCUAGUAGUAAGGAACUUAGCAAAAUACAAUCACUUUCCUAGCCUCACUACAUACAGGUUCUUGUUUCCCCUAGAAAAGGUUUAGGGAUCUGCAGAAAUGAAAAAAUCAAACCUCACUGAAUUGAAGACAGACUUCAUGUGAAGAGUAUGAGGGGAUUACUUUUUUUUCCCCCCUAUUUGAAUUAAAUAAGGUCAAAGGAGGUAGAGGAAUGCUCCUUACUCUAUUUGAACAUUUCCAUACAUAAAGUUCUCUGACUCUUAAAAUCUUAUUUUAAAACAGAUAAUUUUGUCUAGUUGGGAGGAAAAAAAGAUGCAUCAUUACUCACUCCCGUGUUUAACUUGCUUGAGACACAAAUAUUCCGUUUCUCCUGUAGUGAUCAGGAAAGGUGUUACUGUUAUGCUUAGCAUUCACACCUCCAAAGUAUGCUCUGCAGGUCCAGUUUCUGGAUAAUAGCUACAUUCUGAGUGCUAGCCAUGUCUUGUCACUAUAAAUUCUAAAAUGCAAAAUUUUUCUCUAUUAAUUAUUCACCUUGUCAAAGUAUUUUUGGAUCACAGAUCCCUCAGCCAAGCAAACCUAUGACAGUUGUAUUUAAACUCUGCUUGUCUUCCUUUGUUCUUUCACUAUUUGUUGCUUAUUGCCUCUUUGUUGCCUUUAAUCCAUUUGUGAGCUUUCAUUGUCAUAGGAACGUCAUUA